CCUACGGGUGGCAGCAGUCAGGAAUCAUUGACAAUGGUCGGGACACUGAUGCUGCGACGCCGCGUGAGGGAUUAAAGUUCAUAGUAUUGUAAACCCCUUUCAUCAGGGAGCAAAUUAGGAAGAGAGUACCCGGAUCGGAGUAGACGGCUAACUAUGUUCCAGCAGCCGCGGUAAUCCAGAGGUCUCAAUCGUUGUUAGGCAUCACUGGGCGUAAAGGGUGAGGCUGCUGUUUCGUACAUGGUGUGUGAAAGGCUCGGGCUCAAACCGCGGACGGCAGAUGAUACUGGGAGACUAGAGUAAUGGAGGGGGAACCGGAAUGCGCGGUGUAGCAGUGAAAUGCGUAGAUAUCGAGAGGAACACU
This 361-nucleotide ribosomal RNA is filed under the name uncultured bacterium. RNAcentral's name for it is "partial 16S ribosomal RNA". It matches the Rfam family "Bacterial small subunit ribosomal RNA", at positions 338 to 710 of the family's 1533-position model. The record is from RNAcentral.